Molecule: long non-coding RNA, 218 nt
Filed under: Elaeis guineensis (African oil palm)
Lineage: Eukaryota; Viridiplantae; Streptophyta; Magnoliopsida; Arecales; Arecaceae
Description: long non-coding RNA (EGUI_LNC015418)
Source: RNAcentral
AUACAUAAAAAAAAGAGAAGACAAGGUUUUUCUCUCGAUCUCUAGUAUAGAGAUCAUAUGCGUGGUUCUAGAAAGAAAAAGAGAGGAUCUCUUUGUUCUUCUUCAUCUUCCUCUACGUCUGCCUGUUCUUCUUCUUUUCUAAGAGAGUCUUAAGAGAAAAGAAGAGUUCUCUUCAACCAUCAAGAUGUGAUCUCUGCAAGAGAGCUAGCAUCCCAAUG